AUUUCCCUAGGGCGUUCGUGAUCUUUGUCUCGGUGCUAACCUGACAAGCUUUAAGAAAAGGAGACUGUCACUGUCUUUUGUGUGCAUGCCUGUUUUCAGGAAGCCUGAGAGAGACAUAUGGUUUCCGACCUGGUUAUCCAGGUUCUGAACCGCAGACAGACACGGCGUUCCUGGGGAUCUU
RNAcentral lists this non-coding RNA (181 nucleotides) under Desulfovibrio sp. RNAcentral describes it as "6S RNA". It matches the Rfam family "6S / SsrS RNA". From Rfam's summary of the family: E. coli 6S RNA was the first non coding RNA to be sequenced, but its function was unknown until recently. It consists of 184 nucleotides that fold into an extended hairpin structure with a large single-stranded internal bulge. The record is from RNAcentral. Lineage: Bacteria; Pseudomonadati; Thermodesulfobacteriota; Desulfovibrionia; Desulfovibrionales; Desulfovibrionaceae.